UUUUGUAAUUUUGCAAUAUGAAUAAUAUAUAUAAUGCAAUAUAUAUAAUAAUUUUAUGUGAUUUUUUUAUAUAUAUAUCACAAAGAAUCUCAUAAAAAAUAUCUAUCAGUAAAAAAGUUUAUUCAUCUUUAUCCAGGAGCUGCAGAGACAUUAUUCAGAUUCAUACUGUAGUCUUGAGUGUGUAUUGCAUCAUUCUGUGCUGCUGAACUGAAUACCCACAAUCCUUCAAGGCACAAAGCUGGACCCAAACAGAAACGAAGAGGAACGUUUGUGAAAGCUGCAGUCGUGCCGCUGUUUCAACAAACCCCCGUCAGUGUUCAGUAUUCAUAAAACUGGCACAAAAAGUUCAAAUACGUGGAGAAAUCAUGUUGAACCUUCUUCACAGAGGAGACACAAGCUCCUGUCUUUCCUCUCAUCUGCUCAUCUCUACAGGUUAUGCAUUUAUGAUAAAUGAAGGCGUGUGAGAGAAUUGCAUGUUGAUGUAGUAACUAAACACACACACACACACACACACAGAAGAGCUUCAUAACCUCCAGCGAUGUGUCUGUUUGUUAGGUGUGUGAUGAUGUGUGUAUUGUCUCCAGUCCACAGGCCUCCAGUCCGUCUCUUUCCUAUAGAUAACAUGGGAAUGAAGGAAAAUUCUGGAACAUCGGGGAUCAGAGAAAAAUAUCAAGAGUUUCUAAACCUUACAGCAGCAUCAAGCAUUUGUUGUGAUGUCAGUCACCUUUAACUGUGAACGGCCCUCGGUGACGACGACACGAGCGCUCACUGGAUUGAGAGACGUUCGUCUGUUACCAUGGUAACAAUUCACAUAUGAUUUUACAUUGAAAGACACUGUUUCAGAUAGUAAAUGUUAUGGGAAGCAUAACUUAUAUUCUCAUUAUAUACACUACCAUUCAAGAAAUCUGGGGUCGGUAAGAUUUUUUUUUUAAAGAAAUUAGUUUUAUUCAGCAAGGAUGGAUUAAAUGGAUCAAAAGUGAGUUACAGUUAGAUUUCCAUUAAAAUAAAUGCUGUUCUUUUGAACUUUCUAUUCA
This is a long non-coding RNA of Cyprinus carpio (common carp), 1034 nucleotides long. Lineage: Eukaryota; Metazoa; Chordata; Actinopteri; Cypriniformes; Cyprinidae. The record is from Ensembl.